GCAGCAGCCGCGGUAAUACAGAGGGUGCGAGCGUUAAUCGGAUUUACUGGGCGUAAAGCGUGCGUAGGCGGCUAAUUGAGUCGGAUGUGAAAUCCCCGAGCUUAACUUUGGAACUGCAUUUUUAACUACCGGGCUAGAGUGUGUCAGAGGGGGGUGGAAUUCCACGUGUAGCAGUGAAAUGCGUAGAUAUGUGGAGGAACACCGAUGGCGAAGGCAGCCCCCUGGGAUAACACUGACGCUCAUGCACGAAAGCGUGGGGGGCAAACAGGAUUAGAUACCCGCGUAGUCCCUGUCUCUUAUAA
Molecule: ribosomal RNA, 302 nt
Filed under: uncultured bacterium
Lineage: Bacteria
Description: partial 16S ribosomal RNA
Rfam family: Bacterial small subunit ribosomal RNA
Source: RNAcentral